GACGAACGCUGGCGGCGUGCUUAACACAUGCAAGUCGAACGGUAAGGCCCUGCUUUUGUGGUGUGCUCGAGUGGCGAACGGGUGAGUAACACGUGAGUAACCUUCCCUUGACUUUUGGAUAACUUCAGGAAACUUGGUCUAAUACCGGAUAGGAUCUCCUGCUGCAUUGUUGUUGUUGGUUACUUUCGGCGGUUGUGGAUGGACUCGCGGCUUAUCAGCUUGUUGGUUGGGUAGUGGCUUACCAAGGCUUUGACGGGUAGCCGGCCUGAGAGGGUGACCGGCAACAUUGGGACUGAGAUACGGCACAGAGUCCUACGGGAGGCAGGAGUGGGGAAUAGUGCACAAUGGGCGGAAGCCUGAUGCAGCAAAGCCGCGUGCGGGAUGACGGCCUUCGGGUUGUAAACCGCAUUCGCAUGUGACGAAGCGUGAGUGACGGUAAUGGGUAAAGAAGCACCGGCUAACUACGUG
RNAcentral lists this ribosomal RNA (468 nucleotides) under uncultured bacterium. RNAcentral's name for it is "partial 16S ribosomal RNA". It matches the Rfam family "Bacterial small subunit ribosomal RNA", at positions 28 to 507 of the family's 1533-position model. The record is from RNAcentral.